Molecule: ribosomal RNA, 730 nt
Filed under: uncultured bacterium
Lineage: Bacteria
Description: bacterial SSU rRNA
Rfam family: Bacterial small subunit ribosomal RNA
Source: RNAcentral
AACAGGAUUAGAUACCCUGGUAGUCCAUGCCGUAAACGAUGUCUACUAGCCGUUGGGGCCCUUGAGGCUUUAGUGGCGCAGCUAACGCGAUAAGUAGACCGCCUGGGGAGUACGGUCGCAAGACUAAAACUCAAAUGAAUUGACGGGGGCCCGCACAAGCGGUGGAGCAUGUGGUUUAAUUCGAUGCAACGCGAAGAACCUUACCUGGCCUUGACAUACAGAGAACUUUCCAGAGAUGGAUUGGUGCCUUCGGGAACUCUGAUACAGGUGCUGCAUGGCUGUCGUCAGCUCGUGUCGUGAGAUGUUGGGUUAAGUCCCGCAACGAGCGCAACCCUUUUCCUUAUUUGCCAGCACUUCGGGUGGGAACUUUAAGGAUACUGCCAGUGACAAACUGGAGGAAGGCGGGGACGACGUCAAGUCAUCAUGGCCCUUACGGCCAGGGCUACACACGUGCUACAAUGGUCGGUACAAAGGGUUGCUACUGCGCGAGCAGAUGCUAAUCUCAAAAAGCCGAUCGUAGUCCGGAUCGCAGUCUGCAACUCGACUGCGUGAAGUCGGAAUCGCUAGUAAUCGCGGAUCAGAAUGCCGCGGUGAAUACGUUCCCGGGCCUUGUACACACCGCCCGUCACACCAUGGGAGUUUGUUGCACCAGAAGUAGGUAGUCUAACCUUAGGGAGGACGCUUACCACGGUGUGGCCGAUGACUGGGGUGAAGUCGUAACAAGGUAACC